CUCUUCAGGGCAGGGUGUAAUUCCCGACCGGCGGUAUAGUCCGCGAGCCCCUUUAUAGGGGCAUGAACCGAUGGAACUUCGGUACCGACAGUAUAGUCUGGAUGGAAGAAGAGA
RNAcentral lists this non-coding RNA (114 nucleotides) under bovine gut metagenome. Its description in RNAcentral is "FMN riboswitch (RFN element)". It matches the Rfam family "FMN riboswitch aptamer (RFN element)". From Rfam's summary of the family: The RFN element is a highly conserved domain that is found frequently in the 5'-untranslated regions of prokaryotic mRNAs that encode for flavin mononucleotide (FMN) biosynthesis and transport proteins. This element is a metabolite-dependent riboswitch that directly binds FMN in the absence of proteins. The record is from RNAcentral. RNAcentral also lists the same sequence under 1 other name.